Molecule: ribosomal RNA, 468 nt
Filed under: uncultured bacterium
Lineage: Bacteria
Description: partial 16S ribosomal RNA
Rfam family: Bacterial small subunit ribosomal RNA
Source: RNAcentral
GACGAACGCUGGCGGCGUGCUUAACACAUGCAAGUCGAACGGAAAGGCCCUGCUUUUGUGGGGUGCUCGAGUGGCGAACGGGUGAGUAACACGUGAGUAACCUGCCCUUGACUUUGGGAUAACUUCAGGAAACUGGGGCUAAUACCGGAAAGGAGCUCCUGCUGCAUGGUGGGGGUUGGAAAGUUUCGGCGGUUGGGGAUGGACUCGCGGCUUAUCAGCUUGUUGGUGGGGUAGUGGCUUACCAAGGCUUUGACGGGUAGCCGGCCUGAGAGGGUUACCGGCCACAUUGGGACUGAGAUACGGCACAGACUCCUACGGGAGGCAGCAGUGGGGAAUAUUGCACUAUGGGCGGAAGCCUGAUGCAGCAACGCCGCGUGCGGGAUGACGGCCUUCGGGUUGUAAACCGCUUUCGCCUGUGACGAAGCGUGAGUGACGGUAAUGGGUAAAGAAGCACCGGCUAACUACGUG